Molecule: ribosomal RNA, 618 nt
Filed under: Triticum aestivum (bread wheat)
Lineage: Eukaryota; Viridiplantae; Streptophyta; Magnoliopsida; Poales; Poaceae
Description: partial small subunit ribosomal RNA
Source: RNAcentral
AUGGGUUGGCGGCCACAGCUGGACCUUUAUAAAUCACGGUCACGGACACGUCUACCUACCAACAACCCACACACGCGCCGCGCUCGGCACAAGUCCCACAGCCACACUGCACUGGACACACGGUCGCGCACGCGGCGCCGCGGAGAGGCGAGGACACAGACGGGGGAGGCGGCGAUGGUAGAAGGCGGCAGCGGCGCGGGUGCUACGUCGACCUGCCGGCGCGGCGGCGGUGGAGGCGGCAUCGUCGGCCCGGCGGCCCGGCGGUGCUGCGGCGGCGGGUGCGGGCUCGGGCGUCUCGUCCGGCGGCUGCGGCGGCAGGGGAGGCAGGCGCUGUGCGCGGCCAGGCCGGCGGCGGCGUCGUCGUCUUCGUCGGCGGCCGCGGCGCUCCGGGGCUGCCAGUACGACCCGCUGAGCUACGCGCGCAACUUCGACCAGAGCGGCUUCGGCGACCCGGACCCGGACGCGGACGCGGCCAGCCUCUACUACAGCUACACCUUCUCCUCCCGCUUCGUGCUCGCGCCAGGCAGCGCCACCUCGUCCUCAACCGCCGUCGCGGCCGUCGUCCCCGCGCCGAACGGUCUCGUCGUCGCCAGCCGGCCAACCGCCGCCAGCCAUUAG